GCAGUGGUGGUUCAGUGGUGCAAUUCUUGCCUUCCAUUUGGGAGACCUGGGUUCAAUUCCUGGCCAAUGCA
This 71-nucleotide transfer RNA is filed under the name Loxodonta africana (African savanna elephant). It matches the Rfam family "tRNA". From Rfam's summary of the family: Transfer RNA (tRNA) molecules are approximately 80 nucleotides in length. Their secondary structure includes four short double-helical elements and three loops (D, anti-codon, and T loops). The record is from Rfam by way of RNAcentral. Lineage: Eukaryota; Metazoa; Chordata; Mammalia; Proboscidea; Elephantidae.